This 376-nucleotide ribosomal RNA is filed under the name uncultured organism. RNAcentral describes it as "partial 16S ribosomal RNA". It matches the Rfam family "Bacterial small subunit ribosomal RNA", at positions 527 to 896 of the family's 1533-position model. The record is from RNAcentral.
GUAGGUGGCAAGCGUUGUCCGGGGAUUAUUGGGGCGUAAAGCGCGCGCAGGUGGUUCUUUAAGUCUGAUGUGAAUGACCCCCGGGCUCAACCGGGGAGGGUCAUUGGAAACUGGGGAACUUGAGUGCAGGAGAGGAAAGUGGAAUUCCACGUGUAGCGGUGAAAUGCGUAGAUAUGUGGAGGAACACCAGUGGCGAAGGCGACUUUCUGGCCUGUAACUGACACUGAGGCGCGAAAGCGUGGGGAGCAAACAGGAUUAGAUACCCUGGUAGUCCACGCCGUAAACGAUGAGUGCUAAGUGUUGGGGGGUUUCCGCCCCUCAGUGCUGCAGCUAACGCAUUAAGCACUCCGCCUGGGGAGUACGGUCGCAAAGACUG